RNAcentral lists this ribosomal RNA (433 nucleotides) under uncultured bacterium. RNAcentral's name for it is "partial 16S ribosomal RNA". It matches the Rfam family "Bacterial small subunit ribosomal RNA", at positions 29 to 507 of the family's 1533-position model. The record is from RNAcentral.
AACUAACGCUGGCGGCAGGCCUAACACAUGCAAGUCGAGCGAGGACUUCGGUCCUAGCGGCGGACGGGUGAGUAACGCGUGGGAACGUGCCCUUUGCUUCGGAAUAGCCCUGGGAAACUGGGAGUAAUACCGGAUGAGCCCUUUGGGGGAAAGAUUUAUCGGCGAAGGAUCGGCCCGCGUUGGAUUAGGUAGUUGGUGGGGUAAUGGCCUACCAAGCCGACGAUCCAUAGCUGGUUUGAGAGGAUGAUCAGCCACACUGGGACUGAGACACGGCCCAGACUCCUACGGGAGGCAGCAGUGGGGAAUCUUAGACAAUGGGGGAAACCCUGAUCUAGCCAUGCCGCGUGAGCGAUGAAGGCCUUAGGGUUGUAAAGCUCUUUCAGCUGGGAAGAUAAUGACGGUACCAGCAGAAGAAGCCCCGGCUAACUCCGUG